GCCGAAGCCGCAGUCGCGUUUCAACAUUUGCGAAAACACAGCGUACGAGGCGCUUGCGAGAGAAUACCAAAGCUAAAUAUAAACUCUGAUUAAACUAUUAUAGUUUGUAAACACAUCGGCUUAAUUCAAGUUCAACCAAAAUGCACACGAGAUUAGAUUGCGACUGAAAUUAGUCACGAAUUGCCAGUGAAGUGUGAAAGAAAAGCAAUUGUGUGUUAUAAUAAAAGACACUUAAAGCCUGCAUACAAGAUGUCACGUGGGUCACACUCGACGGGCACUCUGCAUUGUUGCUGCCAGAAGUUGUUGUUGCUCUUAUGGGCUGCUUCUGCAUUGCGCGCUACGUUGGCGGGCCCAUCUUAUCGCUCUUACGGCCAGUGCACUGAUGCCGAAACCGGACGCGAGCUCUACAUCGGCGAGUCCUUCACACGUCCGGGCCAGUGCAUACGCGUGCAGUGCUUGGGCACACUGCAGUUAUGGGAAGAUGGCUGUGAAGUACCCAAAUUAGAGGGUAAUUGUAGUCCCGUGCCGCCGGGCAAUGAAUUUCUCAACUAUCCAUAUUGUUGUCCACUGUUUGUGUGCAGAAAGAUUGCCGUCAGCGAAAAGGAUCGGCGAGAAGAGAUACGCACAUACAAUCAGUACGGCACUAUGAUUAAACAGGACAUACAGCAAAUUUUCAGUGUAGGCCCAGUUAAGGGCAAUGUACCGGGCGCUGGUGUAAUUACACAAUUUGAAAUCUAAGUGCGAAAACUAUUUGGGAAUAUUUGACGAUUUUUAUUAAAUGAGAAAGAAGACACCUUAGAAUUUUAAAAGAAGCUGCUCAUUUCUUGGAACUGCCGAUAUCGGACCACUAUAACAUUUAGCUGCCAUACAAACUGAAAGAUCGGAAUCAAAUGCUUGUAUGGAAAACUUUCGCAUUUGACGUGGUAUCUUCACGAAAUUUGACAUGGAUUCCGGCUUAAAGUAAUAAUGUAAUAUGCGAUGAAAUUGUUCAGAUGCAGCAUAAAGCUUCCAUAUAAACUGAACACAUAGUUACUAAAAGAAAUGCGCCUGUGAAGGCUAUAUUAGCUUCGGUGCAGCCGAAGUUAACGUUUUUUCUUGUUUUAACUAAAGAACUUCUGAAACUUGCAAUAACUCAUUGUGAAAUUGACUUUCUGUAGAUAAAAUUAAUAUUAGUUAAGUAAUUAAAAGCGUCUCAAACUAC
Molecule: RNA transcript, 1201 nt
Organism: Bactrocera neohumeralis
Lineage: Eukaryota; Metazoa; Arthropoda; Insecta; Diptera; Tephritidae
Gene: Vago
Exons: 4
Source: RefSeq, a predicted model, not a curated record